RNAcentral lists this ribosomal RNA (497 nucleotides) under uncultured bacterium. Its description in RNAcentral is "partial 16S ribosomal RNA". It matches the Rfam family "Bacterial small subunit ribosomal RNA", at positions 28 to 507 of the family's 1533-position model. The record is from RNAcentral.
GAUGAACGCUGGCGGCGUGCCUAAUACAUGCAAGUCGAGCGAACGGACGAGAAGCUUGCUUCUCUGAUGUUAGCGGCGGACGGGUGAGUAACACGUGGAUAACCUACCUAUAAGACUGGGAUAACUUCGGGAAACCGGAGCUAAUACCGGAUAAUAUUUUGAACCGCAUGGUUCAAAAGUGAAAGACGGUCUUGCUGUCACUUAUAGAUGGAUCCGCGCUGCAUUAGCUAGUUGGUAAGGUAACGGCUUACCAAGGCAACGAUGCACAGCCGACCUGAGAGGGUGAUCGGCCACACUGGAACUGAGACACGGUCCAGACUCCUACGGGAGGCAGCAGUAGGGAAUCUUCCGCAAUGGGCGAAAGCCUGACGGAGCAACGCCGCGUGAGUGAUGAAGGUCUUCAGAUCGUAAAACUCUGUUAUUAGGGAAGAACAUAUGUGUAAGUAACUGUGCACAUCUUGACGGUACCUAAUCAGAAAGCCACGGCUAACUACGUG